Molecule: microRNA precursor, 191 nt
Filed under: Oryza brachyantha (malo sina)
Lineage: Eukaryota; Viridiplantae; Streptophyta; Magnoliopsida; Poales; Poaceae
Description: MIR812 microRNA precursor family
Rfam family: MIR812 microRNA precursor family
Source: Rfam by way of RNAcentral
AAUAAACCAAAUUUUCACUUUUUACCUAUAAUUUUUGACUCUUCGUCUUAUUCAAUUUUUUUUCGAUUGAUAUUUUUGUUUUUAUUAGAUGAUAAAUUAUGAAUAGUGCUCUACGUGUGACUAAUUUUUUUUUCUAAUUUUCUAAAUUUUUUUCAAAUAAUAUGGAUAGUUAAACGUUGGACACGGAAACC